Molecule: long non-coding RNA, 1066 nt
Filed under: Cavia porcellus (domestic guinea pig)
Lineage: Eukaryota; Metazoa; Chordata; Mammalia; Rodentia; Caviidae
Description: lncRNA (ENSCPOG00000037271.1)
Source: RNAcentral
GUUUUUGUUUUGUUUUUUUGUGGGAUUUGAAUUUCAAACCCAUAAUUAAACUUCCUCAGGGUUUCUCCUUAGAGGACACUUUGGCAUCAAGCCAACAGGCAACCUAGAAGAGAGGAGGAGGAGGAAGAGGAUGGAGGACGAAAAGAGUAGGAAGGUGGCGGCAAAAUGACAUAGGAUCGUUCAUCUGGCUCCUGGUGACAUUGUCAACACAGGAAGGAAUCUUAGUUGCGGAGCAGCUGUCUGUACACACUGAGACAAGGGUGAGAAGACUGAUCUCUUGUUUCUGUUUAUGGCCUGUUCCUGCCUCCCGGGAGAGGAGGGUAAUAUCUGCCCUUCCCAUCUAUCUGUGGAGUCAUUUUCCUCAUUUGUAUUCCAGUCCCAUGACUGACCAUUUGUCAAAGUAAUACAGAAAUUCCUGCAUUACCACAAGGAUGUUUAUGAAGGCUGCUUGUCAGACUGAACCACGCUAAUGGAAUACAAGGUUGAUGCUGAAUAUUCCACGAAAGCUGCUACCUCUGCUUACUCAGACCUUUCCAACUUUUUGUCAUAUACGUUGCUUUUGCUUGGAGAAAGAGAUAGGAACAGAAAAUUUUUGGAAAAAAUCACCGAGCCAACAGCGCUCAAAAGUUGUAUUACAUUUUUGAACUUCCGGGAGAACAUGGCGGACAGAUAACAGCAACUACCGGAGGCUCUCUGAAAAACUAGGCUCAGAAACCAGAUAUGGUGCGGACUAAAGAGACAUAAGCAGGUGGAGUUAUGCUCUGCUGACUCAGGAACGAACUCGGCUGAGAGAAACCAACUUGGAAUGCAGUCCUGGUGCUAAAACAGGAACAGAAAAGUCUCGCUGCUGAGGCUGGACCCUGUGCCAUUGGAAGCCGCGAUUUGGGUUUCCCGCCGCGCAGUGGCUGGCUGCCUCUACAUUGGCUCGGCAAGGAGAGAGACGCGCGGAAACUCUGAGAACGGGAGUCUGCGAACGGAGUCGAAAACAGGACGGGCAGAGAGGCAUGUUCUGACUUGUGGCGAGGUGAGUGAGAGAAACUGACACUCCACCACAGUUUGACUCCAG